AUAAGGUCGGGAACCGGAAGAGUCCUGGGAGGGUUGGCCUCUUACGAACUUUGGCUGGGGUUAUUUUAUACCCAACACAUCUCAUGUAUUAAAAUCUAAUCUAAUUAGCAUGCUUUCAGAUCUGAUACAUCACAUAUAACAUCUGAAAAAUAAGAUUUAAAUUGAACUAUUCAAUAUAAAAUUUAUUCUAGACAGUUACUAGAACAAUUCUACAACUAGUCUAGGCAUGCAAC
RNAcentral lists this long non-coding RNA (233 nucleotides) under Elaeis guineensis (African oil palm). Its description in RNAcentral is "long non-coding RNA (EGUI_LNC067890)". Lineage: Eukaryota; Viridiplantae; Streptophyta; Magnoliopsida; Arecales; Arecaceae. The record is from RNAcentral.